AUUUUUUUUUUUUACAUUCUCGUGUUUGAAGAUCCUUCGGGUGGAAUCUGCAGAAAAAUGGCGUUGAUGAAAGGAGAGCCGCUGGUGAGGAAGCUGGCCGUGCUCGCCAAGUACGUUGUUCUUCCGGGAGCCAUGGUUGCUGCUCUCGUUUACUCUCCUCCUGAUUACGCUUACUACAAGAAUGGCGAUCAGUCAUCCAAAUAGAACUCUUUCCCCUUCUUCCCCAAUUCGGAUCGUUUGAUCAUGUAGGCUUGCAUUUGCAGAACUUUCUCCAAAAUGUUAAACAUGGUGUGUAAUGGACAUAUUUCAUCAUCAUGUCUCAAUAAUUAGUCAUUUGUUUUACUUUUGUGGCUUCGUACUUGGAGAAAUAAUAUCCAUUUGUUUCUUUGAAGAAUAUUCAGAAUGAGAAGUAUAUUUUUCCUUCCUUUU
Molecule: long non-coding RNA, 429 nt
Organism: Momordica charantia (bitter melon)
Lineage: Eukaryota; Viridiplantae; Streptophyta; Magnoliopsida; Cucurbitales; Cucurbitaceae
Source: RefSeq, a predicted model, not a curated record